CUGAUAGGAGCAUAUUUAUGCGACUGAGUUAGCUUGUUCUCAUGCAUUUAUGUUGUUAUUUCUUAGUUAAUUACAUAUUUUAAGCUAUUUUCAUGUGUUUGUAGGUCCAUAGGCCUUAUAAAGCAAUAAGAUGCAUUUUCGUGCAUUUUGGAGCAGUUUUGGGCUUGGAAUGAAUAACACAUGCAUGGAGUAAGAUGGA
This 199-nucleotide long non-coding RNA is filed under the name Malus domestica (apple). Its description in RNAcentral is "long non-coding RNA (MDOM_LNC014713)". The record is from RNAcentral. Lineage: Eukaryota; Viridiplantae; Streptophyta; Magnoliopsida; Rosales; Rosaceae.